RNAcentral lists this unclassified non-coding RNA (358 nucleotides) under fungal sp. RNAcentral describes it as "partial internal transcribed spacer region". The stretch from base 1 to 46 matches the Rfam family "Eukaryotic small subunit ribosomal RNA", at positions 1786 to 1831 of the family's 1831-position model. Lineage: Eukaryota; Fungi. The record is from RNAcentral.
AAGUCGUAACAAGGUAUCCGUAGGUGAACCUGCGGAUGGAUCAUUAAUAGUGCGAUGUAGGCAGCUGCUGCUUAUUAUCCUUAUUAUUAUAGAAACCUGUGGUCUAUAGAGAAUUGCGCCGUUCCGACCGGAGCGUGUGCAGUGUCUUACUAUCUGCCCGGAGGCUGGUUGGAUUUCCGAUAGGAAGUGUGAUGAGCAAGCGAUCGUGUGCUGCUGUGCGGCGGCGUAUGAUUGCACUUUGGGCGGUAGUGUCUAUAUAUAAACACGUCUAUACUAGCAAUACUUUGUUUUGGGUGAUUUAGCAAUUUUUGAUAUUCAAAAAAAUACAACUGCUAGCAACGGAUCACUCGGUUCUCGU